GCACUGGUGGUUCAGUGGUAGAAUUCUCACCUUCAAUGUGGGAGGCCAGGGUUCGAUUACCAGCCAGAGUA
RNAcentral lists this transfer RNA (71 nucleotides) under Loxodonta africana (African savanna elephant). It matches the Rfam family "tRNA". From Rfam's summary of the family: Transfer RNA (tRNA) molecules are approximately 80 nucleotides in length. Their secondary structure includes four short double-helical elements and three loops (D, anti-codon, and T loops). The record is from Rfam by way of RNAcentral. Lineage: Eukaryota; Metazoa; Chordata; Mammalia; Proboscidea; Elephantidae.